UUAAGUCAACAUGACUGACUUAUUUUGGUCCAUACACACAAUACUCGAUGGAUGUGUUUUCAAAGUUAAAUAGUAAAAUAUGUAAAUAAAUAUAGAAAUAUUUGACGCCGUCCGACGUACGAUAUCAGUUAAACGAAUCACCUUUGAGAGAUAUGGUCACGCCACCACGUCAUAGCUUACUUCUCACUAAACAAAAGCCGCCACUGUAUAAAAGGACGUACUGAUACUUCGUUCAGGCACAACGAAAUUUUUGUGCAAAUACAAUUUUCUUUUCACUUUACACCUCAAAAAACCAACAAAAAAACCAAAAAUGGGCGCUGAAAAAGUUACCAUGAACAUCGUCAUCGUCGGACAAGUCCAAUCUGCCAAGGCCAUCAAAUCGGUUGCCAAAGCCACUCCGGCCACCAGCCAAUUGAUGAACUGUUAAUUCAAGUCCACAUCAUUUCAAACUAAAAAAUGCCAUAGCCGAAACAGUACAUAAUUUGUUUUAAUUAUAAUAAUGUGUAUUGACAUUGCAAAAUAAAUCAGUCUCUUCCGUCAGUAAAA
Molecule: long non-coding RNA, 546 nt
Organism: Acyrthosiphon pisum (pea aphid)
Lineage: Eukaryota; Metazoa; Arthropoda; Insecta; Hemiptera; Aphididae
Exons: 4
Source: RefSeq, a predicted model, not a curated record